Molecule: ribosomal RNA, 212 nt
Filed under: Yersinia kristensenii
Lineage: Bacteria; Pseudomonadati; Pseudomonadota; Gammaproteobacteria; Enterobacterales; Yersiniaceae
Description: partial 23S ribosomal RNA
Rfam family: Bacterial large subunit ribosomal RNA
Source: RNAcentral
GGGUUGUGAGGUUAAGCGACUAAGCGUACACGGUGGAUGCCUAGGCAGUCAGAGGCGAUGAAGGGCGUGCUAAUCUGCGAAAAGCUCGGUAAGGUGAUAUGAACCGUUAUAACCGACGAUACCCGAAUGGGGAAACCCAGUGCAAUUCGUUGCACUAUUGCAUGGUGAAUACAUAGCCAUGCAAGGCGAACCGGGGGAACUGAAACAUCUAA